UACGUAGGGGGCUAGCGUUGUCCGGAUUUAUUGGGCGUAAAGAGCGUGUAGGCGGCCAGAUAGGUCCGUUGUGAAAACUGGAGGCUUAACCUCCAGCUGUCGAUGGAAACCAUCUGGCUAGAGUCCGGAAGAGGAGAGUGGAAUUCCCGGUGUAGCGGUGAAAUGCGCAGAUAUCGGGAAGAACACCCGUGGCGAAGGCGGCUCUCUGGAACGGUACUGACGCUGAGACGCGAAAGCGUGGGGAGCGAACAGG
RNAcentral lists this ribosomal RNA (253 nucleotides) under uncultured bacterium. RNAcentral describes it as "partial 16S ribosomal RNA". It matches the Rfam family "Bacterial small subunit ribosomal RNA", at positions 524 to 776 of the family's 1533-position model. The record is from RNAcentral.